GCCUCCCGCCGGGCCCGCCCCGCGCCUGCCGCCCUGCGCCGGGGCUGUGGGGAGACCUCGGGCAGCUCUCGUCAUUGCGAGGCAGCGCCGCUGGAGUUGAGGCCCUCGGAGGCUGGCUUCCAGGCGCGCCCGCUGCCCACGUCCCACGGGGGCUGAACCGUCUCCCCAGCGCCCUGUCGCUGUUCAGGUUUCCCGUCCUUGAAGACCCGGCCCUGGCGAGCCUUGGACAGGAGCUCUGGAGCUGUAGGAAAAGAAGGGGAGAAAUGAGUUCCAAAUUCUGUGCAGACUCAUCUCUUCUUGCGUUGCUUUUGGUGCCUUCCUGGCGAACCCCGAGGGGCAGCAGGCUGCCAGGGCACGCGCCAGGCCGAUGUAGACAUGCGACUACAGGGUCUGUGCGGGAAGCCUGCGAAGUGACGCGUAGGCCAGGUGUUAAUGUAUUGCCUUCAAAUUCACCCUUUUUUGACUGUGCUGUGUAAAUGCAUCUGGGCCUUUGAAAGUGAGGAAACUGCGGCCCAACCUUUCCCAAGUUGCCCAAAUCUACAGUUGGGUAGCAGAGCUUGUAUUUGAUCCAUCUGGCUCCAAUUUCAGGAGCGUAACCACUCUGCUCUGCUAGUCACCAGAAACUUAAGGAAGGCAGCAGAGAAAGAAAAAGCAGAGGACAUUUCAGAAGAUGUAUGCAGGAGCUAAAAGUAGCUAGUAGCUACCCAGCACCACCCAAUG
Long non-coding RNA from Myotis davidii, 720 nucleotides. RefSeq lists it as uncharacterized. The transcript is spliced from 3 exons. Lineage: Eukaryota; Metazoa; Chordata; Mammalia; Chiroptera; Vespertilionidae. The record is from RefSeq and is a predicted model, not a curated record.